RNAcentral lists this long non-coding RNA (618 nucleotides) under Panax ginseng (ginseng). Its description in RNAcentral is "long non-coding RNA (PGIN_LNC009833)". The record is from RNAcentral. Lineage: Eukaryota; Viridiplantae; Streptophyta; Magnoliopsida; Apiales; Araliaceae.
AUGAGUCGAGAAGAUUCAUCAAGUGGUACUAAAUAAAAUAUUCCUUCAUUUUAUCGAUGAAUAUAUUUUACUUCGGUACUAAUGUUGUCUCGUUUAUUGUGGUCAUAGGAUGGGUGACGAAAGUCAAGAUAGUAAUUCCUUGACCUAAGAGACGAUGGACUCUAGCGAGGAGUACACAGACAGUGAGAUGAUAAAAGAUUUGUUAGAUAGGAACGACGACUUAAAGGUUAGAGCUGAGCAAGCGGAGGCACAAAAUCGUACUCUCCAGAACCGAGCUACGAGAGAGGUUGGAGCAAAGGGAGAUACAGAUAGGACAGUUGAAGGUUGAGGUAGAAGCCAAAGACACCAGGAUAUAUACCUUGGAGCAGGCUUUAGACAUCGCCUUUAUACGAUUUGAUGCAGAGUGGAUGGAGCUGCCUUUCGGCAGAGAAAGAUAGGCGUUGAUGAGAAUUGAAUAAUUCAUCGUCAAACAAAAUAAGAGACAACGUAUAUAGAACUCUUGAUUGCUGUGUAUAUAUACUAUAUGCUAAUCAGGGUAACUUAUGUAUGUAGAUGUCUGGUGGAAAAGAUAUGUGGAAUAAGAAGGAUCGGAUCCAUACCCCCGAGCUAAUAUCAAAG